GAUGAACGCUGGCGGCGUGCUUAACACAUGCAAGUCGAGCGAAAAGACGAGGAGUUUGCUCCUCUGACGUUAGCGGCGGACGGGUGAGUAACACGUGGAUAACCUACCUAUCAUACUGGGAUAACUUCGGGAAUCCGGAGCUAAUCCCGGAUAACCUAACGAACAGCAUGGUUCAGUAGUGAAAGUCGGUUUUGCUGUCACUCAUAGCUGGUCACGCGCUGCAUUAGCUAGUUGGUAAGGUAACGGCCUACCAAGAGACCGAAGCGUAGACGACCUGAGAGGGGGGUCGGCCGCACGAGAACUUAGACAGGGUCCAGAGGCCUGCGGGAGGGAGCAGUAGGGAAUCUGCCGCAACGGGCGAGAGCAUGACAGAGCAACGCGGCGUGAGUGAUGAAGGUCUUCGGAUCGUAAAACUCUGUUAUGAGUGAUGAACAAAUGUGUAAGUAGCUAUACACUUCUUGACGGUACCUAAUCAGAAAGCAACGGCUAACUACGUG
This 497-nucleotide ribosomal RNA is filed under the name uncultured bacterium. RNAcentral's name for it is "partial 16S ribosomal RNA". It matches the Rfam family "Bacterial small subunit ribosomal RNA", at positions 28 to 507 of the family's 1533-position model. The record is from RNAcentral.